AUCAUCAAAUUUUUGAACGCAAUGCGCCAUCUGGUAUUCCAGAAGGCACACCUGUUUGAGUGUCAUGA
This 68-nucleotide ribosomal RNA is filed under the name Phragmidium zangdongii. Its description in RNAcentral is "partial 5.8S ribosomal RNA". It matches the Rfam family "5.8S ribosomal RNA", at positions 88 to 154 of the family's 154-position model. Rfam says of the family: 5.8S ribosomal RNA (5.8S rRNA) is a component of the large subunit of the eukaryotic ribosome. It is transcribed by RNA polymerase I as part of the 45S precursor that also contains 18S and 28S rRNA. The record is from RNAcentral. Lineage: Eukaryota; Fungi; Basidiomycota; Pucciniomycetes; Pucciniales; Phragmidiaceae.